RNAcentral lists this small nuclear RNA (299 nucleotides) under Castor canadensis (American beaver). Its description in RNAcentral is "7SK RNA (ENSCCNG00000017476.1)". It matches the Rfam family "7SK RNA". From Rfam's summary of the family: 7SK was discovered as an abundant small nuclear RNA in the mid-70s but a possible function has only recently been suggested. Two independent studies have found that 7SK RNA binds the CDK9/cyclin T complex (known as elongation factor P-TEFb). P-TEFb activates transcription by phosphorylating the C-terminal domain of RNA polymerase II. The record is from RNAcentral. Lineage: Eukaryota; Metazoa; Chordata; Mammalia; Rodentia; Castoridae.
AGAAGUGAGGGUGUUCUGGCUGUGACAUCUGUCACCCUAGUCAUUGUUAGGGUUGAUCCAGCUGAUCUGGUUGGCUAAGCAGGUGUUCCAUGCUUCCCUCAACUCACCAAAUGUGUCCCUCCCAAAGCUGUGUGCUUGGUUGAAGAGGAUGACCUUUCCAAAUAAAGAAGAACUCUUCUUUGGUCAAGGAUACAUCGUAGGUCUUCUCCCCAACUAGAGCCUGCAAAUAAGCUCUCAAGAAAUGCAGAAUCUCAGGCACCACAGCAGACUAACUGACUCAGAGUCAUCUACAUUUUAAU